AGCUUUGCACAGUGGCAGUAUCGUAGCCAAUGAGGUUUAUCUGAGGAGCGAUUAUUGCUAAUUGAAAACUUUUCCAAAAUAAAC
Non-coding RNA from Otolemur garnettii (small-eared galago), 84 nucleotides. The record is from Rfam. Lineage: Eukaryota; Metazoa; Chordata; Mammalia; Primates; Galagidae.